RNAcentral lists this non-coding RNA (107 nucleotides) under Bacillus sp. (in: firmicutes). Its description in RNAcentral is "Bacillus sp. SAM-I sequence". It matches the Rfam family "SAM riboswitch aptamer (S box leader)". From Rfam's summary of the family: The SAM riboswitch is found upstream of a number of genes which code for proteins involved in methionine or cysteine biosynthesis in Gram-positive bacteria. The SAM riboswitch acts at the level of transcription termination control. Lineage: Bacteria; Bacillati; Bacillota; Bacilli; Caryophanales; Bacillaceae. RNAcentral also lists the same sequence under 1 other name. The record is from RNAcentral.
UUCUUAUCAAGAGCAGGCGGAGGGACUAGCCCGAUGAAGCCCGGCAACCGGCGUUUAAAUACGCACGGUGCUAAUUCUUGCGGAAUUUUUUUUCUGAGAGAUGAGAG